Molecule: ribosomal RNA, 520 nt
Filed under: uncultured Pacispora
Lineage: Eukaryota; Fungi; Glomeromycota; Glomeromycetes; Diversisporales; Pacisporaceae
Description: SSU rRNA
Rfam family: Eukaryotic small subunit ribosomal RNA
Source: RNAcentral
AGCAGCCGCGGUAAUUCCAGCUCCAAUAGCGUAUAUUAAAGUUGUUGCAGUUAAAAAGCUCGUAGUUGAAUUUCGAAAUUUUUUUAUCGGUUGAAUCAACAGGUUCGUACUGAUUUUAAGAAUUUCUACCUUCUGGAGAACCUUAAUGUCAUUUAUUUGAUGUUUUGGGAAACCAGAACUGUUACCUUGAAAAAAUUAGAGUGUUUAAAGCAGGCUUAUGUCUGAAUAUAUUAGCAUGGAAUAAUGAAAUAGGACGGCAUGGUUCUAUUUUGUUGGUUUCUAGGAUCACCGUAAUGAUUAAUAGGGAUAGUUGGGGGCAUUAGUAUUCAAUUGUCAGAGGUGAAAUUCUUGGAUUUAUUGAAGACUAACUUCUGCGAAAGCAUUUGCCAAGGAUGUUUUCAUUAAUCAAGAACGAAGUUAGGGGAUCGAAGACGAUCAGAUACCGUCGUAGUCUUAAACCAUAAACAUGCCGACUAGGAAUCGGACGAAGUUUAAUUUUUAAUGACUCGUUCGGCGCCUU